CUUGAUCCCUGGGAGAAAAUAAGGACACGGAGCUCUGGAGAGCACAGAAUAAAGAUUCUCUCCAUCCCGAUGAGCUCCGCCCUCCUGCCCACCUGCCUGCUGGGAAGGGGACCACUCACUUAUCCAGCUUGUGGAUCUGCUCCUCAUUGUAGCUGAGCCCUGAAGGAAACAGAUGGGGAUGGCGUCACCACUCAACUAGUCCGGGAACCAAGUUAAAAAGACGAAGAACAGCCUAGGGUGGGGACCAUUUUAUGGGAUCUCAGGCCUAGGGGAGGCCGCAAGGAUGAGGAAAUGGAACAUCAAGUAACUAUGACAACAUUGCUGUUGUGGACAAAAGACUGAAUAUGAUUUUGGUAUAAAGGAGCUGAGGAGAAAUGCUUUGGGGCUCCAGAGCGAGGCGAAUCCUGCUGGGUGGGCAGGAGAUGUUGCAGGUGGGAACGCUGGGUGAGAUGAUAGCGCAGCUUCGGCCCUGUAUCCUCCACCUUCCCCAGCUGGCAGCUGGUUGGCUCCAUCCCUGGAGUCUCUCACAGGUAGGCCAGCACCUUCUAACUGUCCCUCUUUGCCCAGCAACUUUUUUUCAGAAGGAACAACUUUGGGUAGAAGUGCCCUUGCCUAGAUAGAGGCUACUGCAGACAACCUUAAAGCUCUUGCAAUGA
RNAcentral lists this long non-coding RNA (656 nucleotides) under Mus caroli (Ryukyu mouse). Its description in RNAcentral is "predicted gene 28914 (MGP_CAROLIEiJ_G0002392.1)". The record is from RNAcentral. Lineage: Eukaryota; Metazoa; Chordata; Mammalia; Rodentia; Muridae.